Molecule: unclassified non-coding RNA, 177 nt
Rfam family: Eukaryotic small subunit ribosomal RNA (bases 1-46)
AAGUCGUAACAAGGUUUCCGUAGGUGAACCUGCGGAAGGAUCAUUCGCGAGGGAGCGGCGAGCGAGCGUAGCGAGUAAGCCGCGACCGAGAGUAGUGCUUGACGUGUAACAUUGAAUAUGAAAAUAAAGAAAACAAAAACAAACAAAAAACUAUGAACAACGGAUCUCUAGGCUCUU